RNAcentral lists this transfer RNA (74 nucleotides) under Caldifarciminota bacterium SM23_42. RNAcentral's name for it is "tRNA-Thr". It matches the Rfam family "tRNA". From Rfam's summary of the family: Transfer RNA (tRNA) molecules are approximately 80 nucleotides in length. Their secondary structure includes four short double-helical elements and three loops (D, anti-codon, and T loops). The record is from RNAcentral. RNAcentral also lists the same sequence under 1 other name. Lineage: Bacteria; Pseudomonadati; Caldifarciminota.
GCCUGGAUAGCUCAGUCGGCUAGAGCACGUCCUUGGUAAGGACGAGGUCGCCGGUUCGAUUCCGGCUCCAGGCU